Molecule: ribosomal RNA, 468 nt
Filed under: uncultured bacterium
Lineage: Bacteria
Description: partial 16S ribosomal RNA
Rfam family: Bacterial small subunit ribosomal RNA
Source: RNAcentral
GAUGAACGCUGGCGGCGUGCCUAACACAUGCAAGUCGAGCGAUUUACUUCGGUAAAGAGCGGCGGACGGGUGAGUAACGCGUGGGUAACAUGCCCUGUACACACGGAUAACAUACCGAAAGGUAUGCUAAUACGAGAUAAUAUACUUUUAUCGCAUGGUAGAAGUAUCAAAGCUUUUGCGGUACAGGAUGGACCCGCGUCUGAUUAGCUAGUUGGUAAGGUAACGGCUUACCAAGGCGACGAUCAGGAGCCGACCUGAGAGGGUGAACGGCCACAUUGGAACUGAGACACGGUCCAAACUCCUACGGGAGGCAGCAGUGGGGAAUAUUGCACAAUGGGCGAAAGCCUGAUGCAGCAACGCCGCGUGAGCGAUGAAGGCCUUCGGGUCGUAAAGCUCUGUCCUCAAGGAAGAUAAUGACGGUACUUGAGGAGGAAGCCCCGGCUAACUACGUGCCAGCAGCCGCCGUAA